AUACGGAGGGUGCAAGCGUUGCUCGGAAUCACUGGGCGUAAAGGACGCGUAGGCGGGAUGCCAAGUCUGAUGUGAAAUCCUAUGGCUCAACCAUAGAACUGCAUUGGAAACUGGUAACCUAGAGUAUGGGAGGGGGAGAUGGAAUUAGUGGUGUAGGGGUAAAAUCCGUAGAUAUCACUAGGAAUACCGAAAGCGAAGGCGAUCUCCUGGAACAUUACUGACGCUAAGGCGUGAAAGCGUGGGGAGCAAACAGGAUUAGAAACCCCGGUAGUCC
This 274-nucleotide ribosomal RNA is filed under the name uncultured bacterium. RNAcentral describes it as "partial 16S ribosomal RNA". It matches the Rfam family "Bacterial small subunit ribosomal RNA", at positions 523 to 796 of the family's 1533-position model. The record is from RNAcentral.